AUCAAUAUAUGCUUUUACUCUAUGCUGUAAAAUAACAGUGUUAUUCUAUUGUUGCCAAUAUUUCUAUUUUCUGUUGCUUCUGCAGAUUUCACCUAAUAAUGGGCUUAACAACACGUAGAAGUUCGAGAGCGUCCAUAAUGGAUUUACCGGAGCUCAUCAUUUUAGAAAUUCUGCUAUAUCUGUCCAUUAAAGGGAUUGUAAUGUGCAAGUGUGUGUGCAAAACUUGGCAACAUCUAAUUUCUAACCCUCACUUUGCCAAGCAUCACUUUGCACAUUCAAAAGCUGGCAUUCUAAUCCGACCCUCGGAUGUUGGACGAAUUUCAAGAAUGCUUUACUUUAUGGAGCCAUCUGUAAUCAGUGUGAUUGAAGCUGGGCAGCAAGUAAACUUGAAGCCUGAUACCAAAUUGAAGACUCCUUUGCUUAAUGUUGACGCUCAAGCGAUUGCUUUCAUCGAGGGGAAUACUAAGAGGAAGCGAACUAUUAACCUUGUUACCAAGAAUCACAAGAUCAUUAUAGUAAAUUCGUGUAACGGCUUCCUUUGUUUGUUUGAGCGCUCCCAUAAUUAGGGGUGGGCGCGGGUCAGUUCGAUUCGGUUCUCUUUAGAAUCGAACCGAACCAAAAUUUUCGGGUAUCUAGUAAAUGGAACCGUCGGGUCCAAAUAUAAUUAUGCAUCUGUUCG
This 679-nucleotide long non-coding RNA is filed under the name Olea europaea subsp. europaea. The record is from RNAcentral. Lineage: Eukaryota; Viridiplantae; Streptophyta; Magnoliopsida; Lamiales; Oleaceae.